This 489-nucleotide long non-coding RNA is filed under the name Anser brachyrhynchus (Pink-footed goose). RNAcentral's name for it is "lncRNA (ENSABRG00000002821.1)". The record is from RNAcentral. Lineage: Eukaryota; Metazoa; Chordata; Aves; Anseriformes; Anatidae.
AUGCGCAGAGGAAGGAGAUUUUCCAUCCACAGCUACAUCGGUCCUUCUAGCUGUUACAGACUGACCAGUCACACAGCAGGAAAUCGGAACAGUUACAGAAGGCACUUCCCUAGAUAUGGUGGCUUCCAGCACUGGCAAGGUCAUCGCACAUUGAGGGGUUCUUGUUGGCACAGAGAGCAUAGACAUGGAAGCAGCACUGAAGCCUGUUUUCACUUUGUGGCCCUUGAAGUUGUUUCACAAGGAGCCGGCAUACAAGUUUAUAGCGUUGUACUCUUGUGGCUCAUUAGACCAUUUUCCUGCACUGAAUGUAAGGUUUGUCAGCAGAAUAGAACUGAACCUUGGAUACCAUCUGUGAGUUUGUUGGUGUAUGAAAAAGGCCUGGCAGGUUAUUUCUUAAGUGAGAGGAGGAAGUCUUGGCCUCUACUUCUGCUGCUCCAGAACAAAAAUAUUCAGCUGAUACCUAUGGCUAGCUGCUACACCAAGAGCUGA